This 222-nucleotide ribosomal RNA is filed under the name Stenotrophomonas maltophilia. Its description in RNAcentral is "partial 16S ribosomal RNA". It matches the Rfam family "Bacterial small subunit ribosomal RNA", at positions 576 to 797 of the family's 1533-position model. Lineage: Bacteria; Pseudomonadati; Pseudomonadota; Gammaproteobacteria; Lysobacterales; Lysobacteraceae. The record is from RNAcentral.
CGGUCCUUUAAGUUUGGUGUGAAAUCUCCCGGCUCAACUGGGAGGGUGCGCCGAAUACUGAGGGGCUAGAGUGCGGGAGAGGAGAGUGGAAUUCCUGGUGUAGCGGUGAAAUGCGUAGAUAUCAGGAGGAACACCGGUGGCGAAGGCGGCUCUCUGGGCCGGUCCUGACGCUGAGGCGCGAAAGCGUGGGGAGCAAACAGGAUUAGAUACCCACGUAGUCCU